UACGGAGGGUGCAAACGUUGCUCGGAAUCAUUGGGCGUAAAGCGCACGUAGGCGGUCUGUUAAGUCGGAUGUGAAAGCCCUCGGCUCAACCGAGGAAGUGCAUACGAAACUGGCGGACUUGAAUAUGGAAGAGGGUCGCGGAAUUCCCGGUGUAGAGGUGAAAUUCGUAGAUAUCGGGAGGAACACCAGUGGCGAAGGCGGUGACCUGGGCCAAUAUUGACGCUGAGGUGCGAAAGCGUGGGGAGCAAACAGG
Molecule: ribosomal RNA, 253 nt
Filed under: uncultured bacterium
Lineage: Bacteria
Description: partial 16S ribosomal RNA
Rfam family: Bacterial small subunit ribosomal RNA
Source: RNAcentral